This 469-nucleotide ribosomal RNA is filed under the name uncultured bacterium. Its description in RNAcentral is "partial 16S ribosomal RNA". It matches the Rfam family "Bacterial small subunit ribosomal RNA", at positions 28 to 507 of the family's 1533-position model. The record is from RNAcentral.
GACGAACGCUGGCGGCGUGCUUAACACAUGCAAGUCGAACGGAAAGGCCCUGCUUGCAGGGUGCUCGAGUGGCGAACGGGUGAGUAACACGUGGGUGAUCUGCCCCUUACUUUGGGAUAAGCCUGGGAAACUGGGUCUAAUACUGGAUAGGACCAUGCGGUAGGGGGUGUGGUGGAAAGAUUAGUUUCGGUAAGGGAUGAGCUCGCGGCCUAUCAGCUUGUUGGUGGGGUAAUGGCCUACCAAGGCGUCGACGGGUAGCCGGCCUGAGAGGGUGGACGGCCACAUUGGGACUGAGAUACGGCCCAGACUCCUACGGGAGGCAGCAGUGGGGAAUAUUGCACAAUGGGCGCAAGCCUGAUGCAGCGACGCCGCGUGGGGGAUGACGGCCUUCGGGUUGUAAACUCCUUUCAGCCAUGACGAAGCCCUUGUGGUGACGGUAGUGGUAGAAGAAGCACCGGCUAACUACGUG